Long non-coding RNA from Arachis stenosperma, 1645 nucleotides. RefSeq lists it as uncharacterized. NCBI's taxonomy places the organism in Eukaryota, Viridiplantae, Streptophyta, Magnoliopsida, Fabales, Fabaceae. The transcript is spliced from 6 exons. The record is from RefSeq and is a predicted model, not a curated record.
CAGAACCCACACCUUCUUCCUUAAUCCCUAUUUUCGAAACUAAUGCCCAAGUCCUCGCUGAGCACUACAAGCUAUUAACGUACAACAAUUUUCUUUUGAUCAUCAUUGCUGAUCGGAAGUGCUCGGAGCCGUUGUGCCGUUGGCUCCCGCAUCUUCGUCGCACCUAUUUCCGUCCAGAAGGCUUGUCGUCCUCGCAAUCGAGAUCCUUGACGCGUUGUCAAGCCUACGUCCACAUUCACAGCCUUCCUCUCUCACCAACAAUUCCAAUCCUCCCUAACUACCGGAAUUUAAGAUGCCCAAGAAAGCUCGUUACACGAAAAAGACAAGAUUGGCAACACCAUGUUAGUAGCCUCCAACGGGAGCUUCUGCAUCUUUAUCCUCCGCUAAUGAUGACUGGCUCGUUUCCCCGCCCAGUGAUAGUGGCGUGCUAGUAGUGGCAUCUUUGUGGCCAUUCCGUCCGCCCUGGAGUGAUCCAAGACCUGAGGCAGAGACCUGCGCCAAUGGUGUACAAGCGUUGGAGUCAUGCGAUGAAGACUUGGACCCAGAGGCGAACGAGCCAAUCAGAGAUUGUGCUGGUUUAUUGAGUGGCGUUCUUGGAAUGCUGGGGGCUGAUUACAACAAAUUUUCUAUCUGUGAAAAAAUUUGAAAAAGGGUGACGGACAAAGACAUAGUGUAUAAUGAUUGUAUAAAGGAAAUGUUCCACUCUGAUGAAGAUAUAGGUGGAAGAAUCAAGAAAAUUUUUUUGCAUAGCAUGGGAAAGUCCUGGAAGGAGAUAAGGGGUAGGUUGUAUGACAGUUAUUACAAACCAACAAGGAUGCUUGAGGAAAAUCUUGAAGACUGCCCGGUGGGUAUUGAUACGGAGCAUUGGAGAUAGUUCUUUGAUUAUCGCAAUGACCCUGACAUAAAGGAGAAGUGCAGGGCAAAAUGCUUUGAAUCGAUCGAAGCAACUUUACACCUACACUGACGGUUCUAAAAGUUUGGCUAGGUGAAGGGAAGAAGAAGUAAUUUAGGUUUGAAUGCAUCUUUGAACAGUAUUCUGGAUUGUAUCUUCUUUUAUUGGGUUUAAUACGAUUAUGGUAUAAACUGUAUUAUCACAGUCAGAACUAUAGGAGAGUUGAGUUGGUAGAAGAGAAAUAUGGAUCUUACAGCACAAACAACCUGAUGACACAUAUAUACUUGAAGAAACUCAGAGGAUUGGUGAUAAAAUAUCUGAGGUUGAGCAACGUGAUGAAUCCAUGAGAUUAUUGUCUGAAAAUGAUUUCCUUGCCCAAGCUCCCGAAAAAGAGCACUCGGGUAGAGUGUGUGGCAGAGGUGGCGCCGAGAAAUUGAAAAGGAAGGUAGUGGAGGAUGAAGUAGCAGCUGAGAAAUUGAAAAUGAAGACAGUGGAGGAUGAAAUAGCAGCAUAAAAGUUGAGAAGGAAGGCAGUGAAAGAUGAUGUAGCAACUGAGAAGAUGAAGAGGCAAGCAAUAGAGCGUGUGCUAACUUAUCUGAUUCAAUGGCAAGGUGGGGAAUUGCCACCAGACAUCGCUACACAGAUGAAUUCUUUGGAUGGACACGGAGGAAAAUAGAAAUUAGGAGUCGUGUGAAAUUUUAUUUGGAGUAUAUGUUUAAUUGACUAUGCAACUUUAUUAACUAGUAAAACACU